GAGUCUGAUCAUGGCUCAGAUUGAACGCUGGCGGCAGGCCUAACACAUGCAAGUCGAACGGUAACAGGAAACAGCUUGCUGUUUCGCUGACGAGUGGCGGACGGGUGAGUAAUGUCUGGGAAACUGCCUGAUGGAGGGGGAUAACUACUGGAAACGGUAGCUAAUACCGCAUAACGUCGCAAGACCAAAGAGGGGGACCUUCGGGCCUCUUGCCAUCAGAUGUGCCCAGAUGGGAUUAGCUAGUAGGUGGGGUAACGGCUCACCUAGGCGACGAUCCCUAGCUGGUCUGAGAGGAUGACCAGCCACACUGGAACUGAGACACGGUCCAGACUCCUACGGGAGGCAGCAGUGGGGAAUAUUGCACAAUGGGCGCAAGCCUGAUGCAGCCAUGCCGCGUGUAUGAAGAAGGCCUUCGGGUUGUAAAGUACUUUCAGCGGGGAGGAAGGGAGUAAAGUUAAUACCUUUGCUCAUUGACGUUACCCGCAGAAGAAGCACCGGCUAACUCCGUGCCAGCAGCCGCGGUAAUACGGAGGGUGCAAGCGUUAAUCGGAAUUACUGGCGUAAAGCGCACGCAGGCGGUUUGUUAAGUCAGAUGUGAAAUCCCCGGGCUCAACCUGGGAACUGCAUCUGAUACUGGCAAGCUUGAGUCUCGUAGAGGGGGGUAGAAUUCCAGGUGUAGCGGUGAAAUGCGUAGAGAUCUGGAGGAAUACCGGUGGCGAAGGCGGCCCCCUGGACGAAGACUGACGCUCAGGUGCGAAAGCGUGGGGAGCAAACAGGAUUAGAUACCCUGGUAGUCCACGCCGUAAACGAUGUCGACUUGGAGGUUGUGCCCUUGAGGCGUGGCUUCCGGAGCUAACGCGUUAAGUCGACCGCCUGGGGAGUACGGCCGCAAGGUUAAAACUCAAAUGAAUUGACGGGGGCCCGCACAAGCGGUGGAGCAUGUGGUUUAAUUCGAUGCAACGCGAAGAACCUUACCUGGUCUUGACAUCCACGGAAGUUUUCAGAGAUGAGAAUGUGCCUUCGGGAACCGUGAGACAGGUGCUGCAUGGCUGUCGUCAGCUCGUGUUGUGAAAUGUUGGGUUAAGUCCCGCAACGAGCGCAACCCUUAUCCUUUGUUGCCAGCGGUCCGGCCGGGAACUCAAAGGAGACUGCCAGUGAUAAACUGGAGGAAGGUGGGGAUGACGUCAAGUCAUCAUGGCCCUUACGACCAGGGCUACACACGUGCUACAAUGGCGCAUACAAAGAGAAGCGACCUCGCGAGAGCAAGCGGACCUCAUAAAGUGCGUCGUAGUCCGGAUUGGAGUCUGCAACUCGACUCCAUGAAGUCGGAAUCGCUAGUAAUCGUGGAUCAGAAUGCCACGGUGAAUACGUUCCCGGGCCUUGUACACACCGCCCGUCACACCAUGGGAGUGGGUUGCAAAAGAAGUAGGUAGCUUAACCUUCGGUAGGGCGCUUACCACUUUGUGAUUCAUGACUGGGGUGAAGUCGUAACAAGGUAACCGUAGGGGAACCUGCGGUUG
This 1520-nucleotide ribosomal RNA is filed under the name metagenome. RNAcentral describes it as "bacterial SSU rRNA". It matches the Rfam family "Bacterial small subunit ribosomal RNA". The record is from RNAcentral.